This 650-nucleotide ribosomal RNA is filed under the name Phormia regina (black blowfly). RNAcentral's name for it is "eukaryotic LSU rRNA". It matches the Rfam family "Eukaryotic large subunit ribosomal RNA", at positions 97 to 634 of the family's 3401-position model. The record is from RNAcentral. Lineage: Eukaryota; Metazoa; Arthropoda; Insecta; Diptera; Calliphoridae.
AAAGAAAAUAGUUCAGCACUAAGUCACUUUGUCUUAAUGGCAAAUGUGAGAUGCAGUGUAUGGAAUGUCAAAUUUCUAGUAUGAGAAAUUAACGAUUUAAGUCCUUCUUAAAUGAGGCCAUUUACCCAAAGAGGGUGCCAGGCCCGUAUAACGUUAAUGAUUACUAGAUGGCAUUUCCAAAGAGUCGUGUUGCUUGAUAGUGCAGCACUAAGUGGGUGGUAAACUCCAUCUAAAACUAAAUAUAACCAUGAGACCGAUAGUAAACAAGUACCGUGAGGGAAAGUUGAAAAGAACUCUGAAUAGAGAGUUAAAUAGUACGUGAAACUGCUUAGAGGUUAAGCCCGAUGAACCUGAAUAUCCGUUAUAGAAAAUUCAUCAUUAUGAUUUUAAUAUUUAUAAUAUUAUAAUAAUGGUGUGCAUUUUUUCUAUAAAAGGACAUUGUAAUCUAUUAACAUAAAUAUAUUUAUCAUAAGAUCAAGAGCGUAAGUUUAUUCAAAUUAUUUUGCUUGCAAUUUAACAUAGAAUAAAUGCUUUUGAUUUGAUAAAGUGUUGAUAGAUUUAUUAUAUAUAGUGCUUAAAUAUUUAUAUUUUAUAAUAGCAUAUUAAUCAUUGAUUUUUAUGUUUAUUAUAUGCACUUAUAUGAUUAACAA